RNAcentral lists this unclassified non-coding RNA (391 nucleotides) under soil metagenome. RNAcentral's name for it is "partial contains 5.8S ribosomal RNA, internal transcribed spacer 2, and large subunit ribosomal RNA". The stretch from base 1 to 122 matches the Rfam family "5.8S ribosomal RNA", at positions 35 to 154 of the family's 154-position model. The record is from RNAcentral.
GAUGAAGAACGCAGCGAAAUGCGAUACUUGGUGUGAAUUGCAGAAUCCCGUGAACCAUCGAGUCUUUGAACGCAAGUUGCGCCCGAAGCCAUUAGGCCGAGGGCACGCCUGCCUGGGCGUCACACGUCGUUGCCCCCCCAUCUACUCCUUCGGGAUUGCGGGGGGCGGAUGAUGGCCUCCCGUGCGCCUCGUCGCGCGGUUGGCAUAAAUGCCAAGUCCUCGGCGACACACGCCACGACAAUCGGUGGUUGCGAAACCUCGGUUGCCCGUCGUGUGCGGUCGUCGCGCAUCGAGGGCUCGAAAAAAUUGCCGGGCUCCGGCUCGGCUUUCAACGCGACCCCAGGUCAGGCGGGGUUACCCGUUGAAUUUAAGCAUAUCAAUAAGCGGAGGA